Molecule: long non-coding RNA, 441 nt
Organism: Hemicordylus capensis (graceful crag lizard)
Lineage: Eukaryota; Metazoa; Chordata; Lepidosauria; Squamata; Cordylidae
Exons: 3
Source: RefSeq, a predicted model, not a curated record
ACGGGAACAGGGAUAACCUCGCGAGAACUCCCACUUCACCCCUCCCGCUUCUCUUGGGAAACAACAUGGCGGAAGCCGCGCGCACGUGUCCGUGUCCCAGAUACACAACAGAACCCGCAAUCUUCGUGCGUGCUCGCUCGCGCACGGCAGGAAGAAGUCGAGGGCGGAUGGUUAAUGGCUGGAGAGAAAGGCAUGGCAUGGAUUUCAUGCUCUGAAUUAAAGAUUUUAUGCAAGUAAUCCUUUAAAGCAAAGCCUUUGGACUACACAAGUUGCUUGCACCAAAAGCAUCAAGAUCGUUUCUGAAUACAUCUGAUUGCAUAGUCUCAUUCAGAAGCUUAACUGGAUACACUACUGACAAAUGGAAUCCCAUCUCCUUUCAGAACAGUACACUGGCAUUAGAAAUAUGGAUUUGUAACUCAAAUAAAGCCCAAGAUGCAUGAA